GCACUCCUGGGGCGUCUCUAUCUCAUUGCGAGAGGAGGCGCACCUAGAGCGUACACGCUGAUACCCGAAAGAUGGUGAACUAUGCCUGGCCAGGACGAAGCCAGGGGAAACCCUGGUGGAGGUCCGCAGCGAUUCUGACGUGCAAAUCGAUCGUCGGAGCUGGGUUUAGGGGCGAAAGACCAAUCGAACCAUCUAGUAGCUGGUUCCCUCUGAAGUUUCCCUCAGGAUAGCUUGCGCUCGGAAACAACGAGUCUCAUCCGGUAGAGCGAAUGAUUAGAGGCCUUGGGGUCGAAACGACCUCAACCUAUUCUCAAACUCCAAAUAGAUGAGAACCCCGGCUUUCUUGAACUAUGUUUAUGAAGCCGGUGGCUCGGAUCAGAGUGCCAAGUGGGCCAAUUUUGGUAAGCAGAACUGGCGCUGUGGGAUGAACCAAACGCGGAGUUAAGGCGCCUCAAUCGACGCUCAUGUGAAACCAUGAAAGGCGUAGUGCUUAAGACAGCAG
Molecule: ribosomal RNA, 502 nt
Filed under: Tolongia sp. 19050b-32
Lineage: Eukaryota; Metazoa; Arthropoda; Insecta; Hemiptera; Miridae
Description: partial large subunit ribosomal RNA
Rfam family: Eukaryotic large subunit ribosomal RNA
Source: RNAcentral